UGAUGAAUCUCAACCCAUCCACCUUCAAAGGAAGCAUUCUGUUUCCAUCAGCUUGCCAGCUUCUCCCAUAGCAGCAAGCUCAAGGAAGGCAAAAAAGGUCCUUUUCAAAGAAGAUGGUGAAAAAACCUUUCUUUAUGGAAAUCCAGAUUCUUCUGCUGCAUCUAAAAUUGUCGAUACACCACCUAAGCAAGUUAAAUUCCACUCUCAACCAAUGGCUAAGGGAACUGCUGCAUUUGAGGUUGCACUUGAUGUUCCAAACCAUCCUAAUAACCAUCCCAGCUUGAAAAAGUUAAAGGAUAAAAGAUAUGAUUCUUUCAAAACAUGGUCUGGGAAACUUGAGAGGCAGAUAACAAACGUACGUGUGAGGCCGCGAGAAGAUUCAACAGAGAAGACUGCUGGCCCAAAAGCAGAGAAAGAUGCUUUACCUGUAGACCGAUACUUUGACGCGUUGGAAGGGCCUGAGUUGGAAACUCUUAGGGUAUGUUCUUAGUGUUUACCUCCCCCAAUCAUUUAAAAUAAUUUCUUCGUAAAAGGAAACUAGAUGUCCACUUUGUGCCUUUUCUUUGUGGUAUGAAAUUAUGAUGCACAUCUGUCUGUUGCUGCACUCCUAGCCUGCAUUAUAAACGGAUUCUAUCUCAUUAGAUUUCCAGGUUCACUGAAGUCACCAAAUACUGAUGAAUUUUGAAUCUAAUUAUAUGAUCAUCUAAUUAUAAGAAAGAUCUGGUUUGGUCAGAUCUUUCAUUGAAGUUAGGAUGAUCUCACGAGUAUUAUCUUUUGCCUUGGUGUUUAAUGAAUUGUCCUUGUAAAUUGAAGACAUCCGGAUGAAUAACUUCUAUAACUUCUAUUCUCACAUAUUACUGCUGGUUAAGCUGAACGUUUCUGAUCAACACUAUGCUUGCUGCUACUUUACAGCCUUCGGAACAAAUAGUGCUACCAGAUGAUAAUACAUGGCCGUUUCUUCUCCGUUUUCCCAUCUCUUCAUUCGGUAUCUGUCUUGGGGUUAGCAGCCAAGCAAUAAUGUGGAAAACCCUGGCCACCUCUGCCUCCACAAGAUUUCUCCACAUAAGCAUCGACGUAAAUCUUGUCCUCUGGUGCAUCGCUGUUGCUCUUGUAGUAAUCAUUGGUUCCAUAUACCUUCUGAAAAUGAUUCUCUACUUUGAAGCAGUUCGUCGUGAGUACUACCACCCAAUCCGAGUGAACUUCUUUUUUGCACCAUGGAUAGCUCUGCUAUUCUUAGCUAUUGGAAUGCCUCCUUCCCUUGCCGAAGACCUGCAUGCAGCGCUUUGGUAUGUUCUCAUGACUCCAUUCCUCAUUCUGGAGCUUAAAAUAUAUGGACAGUGGAUGUCUGGAGGACAGAGAAGGCUUUCGAAGGUGGCAAAUCCUACAAACCAUCUGUCGAUUGUUGGGAACUUUGUGGGGGCACUGUUGGGGGCAUCAAUGGGAUUAAAAGAAGGGCCUAUAUUCUUCUUUGCAGUCGGGUUGGCUCACUAUGCAGUCCUAUUUGUAACUCUGUACCAGAGACUUCCGACAAAUGAGACACUCCCUAAGGAUCUCCAUCCAGUUUUCUUUCUGUUUGUUGCAGCUCCAAGUGUGGCUUCUAUGGCAUGGGCAAAAAUUCAAGGUUCAUUUGAUAAUGGAUCACGGAUUCCUUACUUCAUUGCCCUAUUCCUUUAUUUCACACUGGCGAGUCUAUGCCCUUAUUUCUAUCAUACGUUAUAUUUCUGUUAUGUACAUUCUCAUAAGCUAUCAACUGUGUGAAGAGGAUCAGACUAUAUUGCUUUAUUUUGCUAUUUAAGAUUUAUCCCUUAACAAUACUAUCCUCUCUUUUUUUGGCAAUUUUGCAGGCAGUCCGUGUUAAUUUUUUCCGAGGAUUCAAGUAAGUCAAUGCCACUUGAAGUUGUUUUUUCUUUCUCUUACCAUUUCGCUUCUGAGGUUUCCUAAAUUUAACGAUCUCUUGAAUCUACAGGUUUUCAUUGUCAUGGUGGGCAUACACUUUCCCGAUGACCGGCGCUGCCAUUGCGACCAUCAGAUACUCGAAUGAAGUCACGAAUGUAGUCACCCAAGUUCUUGCCGUCAUAUUCUCUGCUGUUUCCACACUCACUGUAUCGGCUCUCCUUGUAUCGACAAUAGUGCACGCAUUCGUACUCCAGGACCUCUUCCCUAAUGACAUGGCCAUCGCUAUCAGCAACAGGAAACCAAGACAGCAUCACCAGAGGAAGUGGUUCCAUCUAAGACGUGGAAGCUCGGAUGAAAAUGAGAUUGAACAUUACUUAAAGUUCACAAACUCAGAUGGUAAGGAUAUAGAAUCUUCUCUACACCCCACCACUUCCAGCUCAGAUAGAAGUCAUUGAGUUUAGGCAAGUUUAUGUAAUGCGCAUCACAGUGAGGCUUAUGUUUCGCUUCCUUAGCAGGUCCUUCGCCAUUUUCUGAAUCUUCAGCCUAGUCAUGUAAGGAACUCAUAAUCUAGUAGUUAUGACAGUUUCAAUGAGCAUGAUGAAUCAGAGAGGAAAUGAAGAUUUACGCAGUAAGAGUAGAGUGCUGUCCAAUGAAAUAAUAAGACGUGUGCUUGUAUAGGAUGAGUAUCAGUAAAAUCUAUGCUUUUGCAAACAGGCUUUUCUGCUUUUAUUAAAAAACAAAAACCAGCUAAAUCAAAGAACCUAACUUUUGCCAAGACCAUUUUACAAUUCAUAUGCUAGAAACAAAAAAUAUUCAAAUGAACAGAAAAUUGUAAAUAGAAUAACCCCUGUCUUUUCAGCUGGACGAGGUGACCAAGUGCCUCAUCAAUGCAGCAAUCUGGGUUGUGCAGAUAGCAGGUUGAACAGCAUUGUUGGACCUUCAAUGAUUUUGAAUGUUCAGGUUUAAGCUCCAACCACUUCCAUAGACCCCAAUUGAAGAGGACUAAGAAAUAAUAAAUUGAUCUGCAGUAGAGAGGACACCAAUUCAUUGGAUUUCAUCUUUUAAGAAUUAAAGUGCUAUACAGUACAGAAAAUGUGACUAAACGUAGAGUCUUAGACAAACACUACCAUUUCUAGUUGUGCCACAACAUAAUUGACAAGACUAGGUGAAGUUGAAGCCACAGCAACCUCCUCGUCUAUUAUCCCCAGCGACUAAUGAAAGACAUAGUUUUGUCGACCACCAUGGCCACCAUUAGCAGUGAUUUGAUCUCCAUUCGUCAUCCUCUUUUCCUUGCGACCCAACAACCACCAUCUCUGCCAUUUUUCUAACCACAGAAAUUGACCUUCACAACCCCUAUGCCACUCUCUACUUGAUCGAUCACCGCACCCAAAACCUAGCCUCCACGCCACUACCAGCCACCAUAGAAAUCAUCUCACAGCCCCACAUAACAGUAGUAAUAACAACAAUACUAAGAAGAGAGAGAAGAUCGACAGUGGGAAGGAAAUUCAAAAUUCAGGUGAUCCAAUCUCUUAACAUGAGCAACAAUGAGUUGCAUUGCCGAUAUAGGAAGAAAGAGAAGAAGAAGAUGCACUUGUUCCUACCCUUCAAGUGCCCCCAGUCUCAUCGGAGCAAAGGUUCAAGCACCAGCAGCUUCCCUAACCCACCAACCCAUCUUAGUCACGCGCCGCUGCUAUCUAAGUAGUUCCAUCAGUAUUUUUGUCACCCCCAGCCACUAUACAAGGCGAUUUUAAACCUCAAAAAUAAAUUCUGGAUAAUUUUUAAAGUUGAUACGGUAAAUAAAAGGGUGAAUUAGAAAAUUAAUGUUUUUUUUUAUAUAUAUAUAAUUGUGUUUAUUGUUAAUUUUAUGCUAUAAAUCAUAAAUCUCAAUCUAAUAGUUUUAAAUUCAGCUAAGAUUUAUACAUAAAUUUUCAGAUAUAUUUUUCUACAUUGAUUUAAAUUUUAAUGUCAAUUAAAGUUCUAAAAAACAUCAUAAUAUAAUUCUAUAACCAUCUUUAAUGAUCAACAAUAUAGUUUGCAAGUGUGUAAUGAUUCUCUUAAUGUUUUAAAAUUCUUUUUUUAGGAGGAUUCAUUAUUUAUCCUAUAUACACAAGCAAAGAAAUUAAGAGGCAACAACUAUUACAAAGAUUUUAAUACUUAUUUAGGAGAGUUAAAACUGAUUUUGGACUAAUUUUUUCUAUUAUAUAGUUUUAAACCAACAAUCAUGAUUUUUUAUUCAACCAUUGGAUCAAACUGAAAUUUUAUCAGAAGUUUUCAAAGGUCUGGUUUUGUAUUAGGUUAAAAGUUUAGAUCAAUCAGACAUAGAAAAGACCUUGCAAUAAAGUCUAGAAGCUACUGUACGAGAAUUUAUAUUGGUUUUUUAUUUGGUAUAUAUAUAUAUAUAUAUUAUUUAGAACUCUUUUAUUAUUUUUUUAAAAUUUCUUAAGAUAUUUGUUUUCUUAGUAUAAAUAGAGUUAUUUAGCUUUUACUUGGGUUUGCUUUACAACCAUAGGGUUAUUAGCUUUUUCUUUUUUUCAAACUUUUUUUUCUAAUAAUGUAAAAAUUCUUGUCACACUUAAAAACUAUGUUGUUAUCCAUUAAAGAUCAUUAUAAAACUAAUAAAGCUUCUAAAAUUAUUUGUUGGAUAUCCUUGCAUUAUUAUAAAAAGAAUCCUCCCAAAAUAUAAAGUCCACAAGUCAAAAGGCAACAAAUAAAAAAAGAUAUAUUGCAUAUGCUAACAUGUAAUGCAAUACAAUACAAUACAAAACUCUAAUUGACUUAGAGUUUUAACUCAUAAUAUAACAAUAUGUCUAGAGACUUUUGGUAAAAUUUUAUUAUGAUUCAACAGUCGGAUUUAGAGUUAUGCUUGAUAACAAAAAACUAGACGGUAGACGCAAUUACUCUAGAAUCCCAAUUUUCUUAUUCAACCUUUUCUUGGAUUAUUUGAUAAUCCAAGGCUCAAAAGCAAAACCUUAAGUACAAGCUAAAUAAUAUUAUUUAUACUAGGUAAAAAAAAAAAGCAUCCUAAACAAUUCUAGGAAAAAAAAAAGAGUUCUAAAUAAAAUAGAAAAAAAAAAUCUUAAAUCAACUAGAAAAAUAAUACAAAUUCUUACAUAAUAGCUCUUGGAUCUUAUUGUAAGGUCCUUUUGAUGUCUAAUUGAUUUGAAACUUUAAACCAAUAUAAAACAAGAUGUUUGGCAAUUUAUUGUAAAAUUUCAGCUCGAUCCAACAGUUGGAUUGAAAAUUAUAUUUGUUAGCGUAAAAUUAUGUAUUAAAAAAAAUCAGUACAAAACUAACGUGAACCCUCUUAAAUAAGCAUGAGAAUCUUUGUAAUAGUUGUUGCCCCUUAGUUUUCUUAUAGAGUAUGGAAACUCCAAAAAACAUCUACCAUUAAAUACCAUAAGUCCUCAUUUUCUUGUAUAACUAGGAUAAAUAAGGAGUCCUUGUAAGAAAAUAAUUAAUCUUUAAUUAUAAAUAUUAUUUGUAAAUAUUCAUUUGUUAUUUAAUUUUGAAUUUCUAUGUUUGAGUUGAUGUAUGUGUGGAUUUAUUCUUUUAUUCUAUUUUUAGAAUAUCAUUUUUUAUGAUAUGAGCAAAUAUAGGAUUGAUCAAUUUAAUCUCACAUAGACUCGUUAAGUGUAGGUGAUGAUUUUUUGGGCCCAUUUCAGCCAAUUUAUUUUGAAUAUGCUUAUGCCUCUAAUUGAUCAUUAUUUUUUUGGGUCCAAUGCCUCGUUUUUUAAAAUUAAGGAUUAGGUCUUGCAAUAAGAUGCAUGUCCUAAAUCACUAAUUUAUUAUGUUUAUUUUAAUGAUGAUUAUGUUUCAUUUAGACAAUGACAAUAAUGGUAGUGAUGGUAUUAUCAAUAUUAUCCUCAUUGAUAAUUUAAGCCAAUGUAAGCAAAAUAAUUUAUUAAAUUGUUGUUUCUGAUAUAAAUUUUAAAAUGGAAAAAAUUAAAGUUGAUAUCUAAAAAUAUAAUACACCUGAAACAAAAAAGAAGAAAAAUAAAGGAUUGGGGUUUGGAGAGUCUUUAUUGGACAUUCACAAGAUCGAGACAAGAGUGAUUUAAACUCAAGGACGAGUUUUUUUCAACCUAGGGAGUAUAGGGAUUUUUAGAGAGAGAUUAUUUUUCUUUUUAAUAUUAUUAUUAUUAUUAUUAUUAUUAUUAUUAUUAUUAUUUUCAAUUUAGUUUAAGAAAAUAGUUUUUUAUGGUGUUUUUUUAUUAUUCUAUUUAGUUUAGAAAAUGAAAUAUUAAGAUUGAUAAUUUUAUUUUUUUCUUAAUUUGUUUAAGAUUUUUAUUGAUUUUUCUUUAUUUUCAGAUUUCUUUUUUAAUAAUAAUUGAGUGGAUCUAAUGAAAAUCUAGCAAAUAUGAACACAGGUGUCCAUUUACACAAGUGUAAAAAACAAGAAAAUCAAACAAUCCAAAUCUUUACAUAACGCAAAGUAUCAAGUUUGAAAAGACCGAAAACAUUUCUAAUUUAUCCAAGUUCGGAUACUUUUGGCCCUAUGUAUAAGUCCAUUCAUGUGUACUUAAAAUUACUAUCCUUAGUCUUCAAUGAAGAAUCAAAUUAAUAACUAUAUUCCAAUUUGACAUCUCAUCAUCAAAAAUUAUUUUGAGGUUUUCUAAUUUAUUUAGCUUUUUAAUUUUUAAGCUUAUUAAAGAGAUGCAAACCUCUUAAAUAAAGAAGCAAAAUACAUCAAAAUUAUUUAUUUAGUAAUAAAAAUAUAAAUUAUCCAUAUAAUAACUUUACUUGACUUAAAUUCUAACUUUCUAGCUUAGUAUUUUAUUUUAUUUUUGUGUGUUUUCGUCUACAUUAUUUCCAUCCUAUGUGUAAGGGAUGAAAACUGCUAGGAAAGACAAUAAAAUCAUAUGGAUCUCCAUGGGACGACAUCCAAAACUAGUAUAUAUGCACUUCUUUUCAUUAAUAGAAACCAAAUGGAUUAAAUGUUCUUGGCCGUGGGCCAUGUCUACUAAAUGUUCAUUGUUAUAAUCAACACCUCUAGUUGGCUGCGGCAUCAUGUCUUUCUAUCUCCUAAAAAACAUCGAAAAUGUAACUCAUUGAUAUUGACCCUGUCUUAAUACAUGCAUACUUAAGAGUGGUGCAAGCUCUGCAGAGGGAGAAGUUUUAUGUAUUAUUUCGUUGUCUGAAAACUGGCUAUAUUGACCCUAGUAUGAUUACAUCUGACAUUAGGCAUGAUCAAUUAAGUUGUUCAUUUAACCAUGAGAGAUAACUCAUCUGGUUAGAUUUUGGAUUUGCUUUUUAAUGAUCAUGAGUUCGAGUCUUCUCAAGAUCACUAGAGGCUUACAUGAUUAUUAAAUUUAAGGCUUGUGAAAUUAGUUAAGGUAGGCACAAGCUGGUACAGACACCAAUAUUAAUAAUAAAAAAAAUAAAUUGUUAAUUUUUGUUGGUUUCUUGUCAUUACAUGCUUCAUUUCUCUAAAUUUGUAUGAAACAGGAAUGGGCAUUGAUGAUACAAUAUCCCACAUCAGCAAGGAGUUGUGGGCUAUAUGCCUUUUCAAAGUAAAACCCACUUCAAGGUUAUGACUUCGGUGGCUGGCUUCACAGAAAAUGGUUUCUAUUUCAAAAUCUUACGCACCUAGUUUUCUAGUUUUGGUGACCAAUGUUCUUAAUGAUGAACUGGUUACUUUAUUUAUAGAUUUUAUUUUCAAAGAAUUAGAAGAGCCACAAUUAUUAGAGAAAUAAUUUAAAAUAAGAAUGACAAUUUAAUCUGAUACUAAUAGAUACCGAUAUAUAGAUCACGAAAAUGUAGCUGUGGUGGACUUCCCAUUUCUUCCCCGAAAUAGUGGGUUUUGGAAACAAAUAAAUUAUGACAUCUAUGGCUGUAUGUGGGGGCUAGAUACAUCAAUAUUCUUGAUAUAUAUAUUAAAGAACUCUAAAACGCGUGGGGAAAGUACUAUAGCUUUCCCCACGGUUUUCCCUGCCAAGACAUAUCACCUCUGCCACGAAAUAUAUUAUCACUGUGUAAGUUUGAAAAAAAACGACAUCAUGAUGUGGUGUUUUAGAUGCUUUGAAAAAUUAGGCUGCUGUUGUUUUCUUCCCCUGGAAUUGGGUCUUCUUUUUCUUCUGUCAACGACAUCAUGAUGUGGUGUCUGAAAUGCUUUGAAAAAUUAGGCUGCAGUUGUUUUCUUUCCCUGUAAUUGGGUCUUCUUUUUCUUCUAUCAAGGGAAUACUGAAUUGUCUGACAUCUUAUCACCUUUAAAAUAAUAAAAAGGCGUAGAGAAUGUCAGUCUUUUCAAUGCUGCAUUAAAUGCUUUCAGGCUCCGUUUAGAUAAAGUCAAGCUGGCCAAUCUUUGACAUCAUUUCCGUUUUCAUUGUUUCCUUUUCCAUUUUGGUUCGCGUUUCUGUUAUUUGAACACAUUGUCACCUCUCCUUUUCCCCAGCCAAAAGCCACACUAGCAAUCAACAUCCACCGUUGUUUUUCUGCCUUCUCUAGUGGCUGAAGUGGAUCACCAGCAGCUUCACCGUGGAUCACCAUCCAGCAACAGCAGCAAACACCUCCCGCAGGCUAGGUAGCUUCUUCUCUUCUUGCUUCUCCACGUAAAUCAUGCAUCUCUCAGCUCCCACCUCUCUCAGCAAGCAACUUUAGAGUGACAGUAGCUUUUAACAGAUUUCAGAAGAUGGAACUGUAUGUUCCAACUCAACUUAAGACUGAUGAUUGAUACAUAAAAAAAACCUAUCAUUUAUUUUCCAGAGAAUUAUGAAAGGAGGGGCACAUUCAAAUAGAGAUUUUCUUCUUUUUUUUUUUCUAUCCUGUCAACUACAGACACUUCUCAAAGCUCCUGAUACAGUAAAUAGAGUGAGACAUGCAUCUAAAACUACCCUUAUUCAAUUGUUGAUGGAUGAUAUCUAAAAGCAACCAGAAGUCUUAUGAUUACCCAUACAGUCAGAUAAGCUAAACCUAUAAUCAUGUAAAACGUUCAUGGAAGUCCAGGGGUAACAAAGAAGGUAACAAAACGCUACAUGGAUCUCACCGAAACAUCAAAGAUCAUAUCGCUAUGGCAAGUCUGAAAAGUAAAAAUAUGGGAAACAAUAAAAGAAUCCCAUGAAGGCAUGAAGUGUUUAUGUUUGAUCAAGUAAACAGCAUUUGAGGGAAUUAAUACACCGUUGUUUUUCUACCUUUUCCAGUAGCUAUAGUUGAUCACCAGCACCUCCACCGUGGACCACCAGCCACUCCACCGUCGACCACCAUCCUCACGACAGACCAGCAACAGCAGCAAGCACCUCCCCCAAGCCAGGUUGCUUCUUCUCUUCUUGCUUUUCCACGCAAAUCAUGCAUGAAUGCUGUAAAAAAAAAAACAACAAACCCUGUAGAAUACAUGAGUAAUUAAUUACCUGUUGCUUGCAAUCUGCUUUGCCAAAGGAAAUAGCAAUUUGGUUAAUUAUUAAUUUGUAAUAAUGAUUAACAAUUGGUUACAUAUAUUUGGUGCUCCAUUUCUCCCUUUUGCAAUCCGGCUCAAUCUAAGAUCAUGUUCUCCAAAAGAGGGGCUUCUCUGUUUUCUCUUUUCUUUCUGGUUUCGGCAGAUAGUGUCAACUCUAGAGGAAGUAGAUUGCAAAGUCUUCUACAACAAUCAACUUUUAAAAAUUCGUUCUCAAACUCGGUUCCUUCUCCUCCUUCGCAGAUCGCCGCCUUCGUCUAUCAAUAAAUAAUAAUAAUAAAACUUUAAAAGAAGAUGAACUUACCUUGAUAGUGAUGUCAUCUUCUUCUCCUUCGGUUGAUCAUCUUCCUUAACAUGAGGUAGCCACGCAUCAUGAUCUCACGGAAUUGGACCAGAGAAGCUGCUGCUGGUUCCGGUGAUGGAGCCAAUAAAGUUCAGAUUUCAUUUCUCACAAGGCAGUCGGGUUUUUGCCAUCUUUCAACUCAUUCGGCAUCCUUUUCAUUCCAUGUUUUCCUACCCUUAAUAAUUAAGGAGUCUGGCUGAAGCAUAGGCAAAGCAAGCUCAGUCAGAUUCAAUUGACCGAGACUGGCGACAGAGGGAUGAUUCUGUGGUUUUCGUGAGUUCAGGGCUUAGGUGUGGGGCUUCGAUUGAUAGAUGAAGCUAAGAGCGCAUCUGGUCUUCACGAAAAAAGCAACGGGUUAUGGGCUCAUCUCAUAUGUCCGAUUCAGGCAUCUCUCUUAUUGACGCAUAAAAUAAUUCGGGGGGACGUGGAACCGGACAAGAUAUGUUUUGCUCUGGGUUUGUUGCCGAGUAGCAUGGACACCUUCCCACGUGUUUGUCUGGACUUGGUCUCAUCACAUGUUAUUUUACUAUGCACAUAGGUACAACAUUAUAGGUAGAUCCAUGUGAAUUCCACUUCCCGUGAUAAAAUUAAUGUCCUAUGCUAUUAUUUUUUAUGUUGGAAAGGUUACUUUAUUACAAAGUAUUUUUUAAAAAUAUUUUUUUCUGUGUUUAUUUUUAUUUUUAAUUUCAUAUAUUUAAUUAUUUAAAUGUAUUUUAUAUAAAAAAUGUUUAAUGAAAUAUAUUUGAUCAUCAACCUUCAAAUUUAGUUCAUACGUACCCUUGCCUUUGGCUAAUCUGAAUUCUGAUCUUCGAUCUGAUGGAAAGGUAAGAAAAUCAUGGCAAGUAAAACCAAACGCAGAGGGUUUGAAAUGAAAAUGAAAAUGACUGAUGUGGUAGAGGCUUAUAAGAGCUUCCUAUAGUAGUACAAAAUUAAUUAUUACAUUUCGUGAGCUUCGGAGGAUGUGCCACCUCUCUCUCGCACCCUCAUGUGUUGUGCUUCGCAGUUGUCGCCAGAGGAGAAAAACAAGGAAAAGACGAUGACGACUUUUGUGACCUCCCCGCCUUCUCUCUCUCUCUCAAAAGUAAACUAGGAACUAACAUCUGAUCCAUCCACCCAUCCACUCAUCACCUGAAAUAACUUAUUUCAACCAUUAUUUUUAUAUCAUCAUAAUUAUCAUCUCACUAUCUAACCCUUUACCAUUAUUUUAUUAUUAUUAUUAUUAUUAUUAUUAUUAUUAUUAUUAUCAUCAUUACAGUAUCACCCUCUUUAUUAUUAUUAUCAUCUCAACUUAUCACCAUCAUUAUUAAAAAAAAUAUUUUGCAAGUUAAAAAUUAUAUGCAAAAGAAAAUCAUUGCUAGCGAAAAAUGACAUGUUUGAGAGUAUGGUUCUGGUUGUUUUUUAAAGUGUUUUUUGUAGUGAAAUGUAUCAAAAUAAUAUUUUUUAAAAAUUUUUAGAAACACAAUCACGUUUCUAAAUGCUCUCUUCAUCAACAGGGAUUGUUUAUGUUAGGUUUUCUUGGCACUUGGUCUACUUCAAAUUUCAUUUUUCUUUUGAAAAAAUUUAAGUGUAGUAACUUUUUGGAUAGGUGGCAUAAUUAUGUAUACUUAACAGCAUGGUUUAAUACAGUUCAAGAUGGUAUUUAAUUACGUGAAGAAUGACGAAAAUAUAACAUACAGGAUUGGGAUUAAUACAAACAGUAGUCGAAGGAUGUUAUAAAUACGGAAGCAAAAAUACAGGGGCGUGUACGUCUUCAUGUUUAGGUACAGAUUUCACAUGCUUAAUGAUCAUGUAAAGAAAGCAGGUCAAAAGUCCUUGGUUUUUUAGCAGUGUUUACAUAUGUCAAACUAUGGAUUAUAGUAUGGUUUUGAAAAUAAAAAAAUUUCUUACCCUAUGUUUGAAUUUUUUAAAAAACAUUGCGGGACACGGGACACUCUCAUUAAAAAAAUUACAAAGAUUAUAACCCUUAUUCUUUGCAGCUUAUACGAUUUUGUUUUGAUUUUGUUACUUUCCUUUGUUUUUUUCUUUAGCAUUCACCAGGAUUGUGAUAGAUUGUAGAAGUUAUUGCCUUUAUUCUUUGUAGCUUAUACCAUUUUGUUUUGGCUUUCGUACCCUUUUUUCAUUUGUGUUUUUUUUGGAGCACUUGCUGGAGUUGUGAUACUGAUUUCUUUUACCUAGAUAUGUUGCCUCAUCUUUUAUUUUUAUUUUUGUUUGUUCUUUCAUGCCUCAUUCUCCAGAUCUUAUGCCCAUGUCUGUUUAUUUUUAUCCUUGCACAUAUUAAUCAAAAUUGAACUUCGUUUUUCAGGUCUUUUGAAGGGGCUACUUUUUUUUAUCAUCGGUAUUUUCUCAGGUUUAUUUUGUGCCUCUCUCUUAUUUACUUUAUCCAUUUCUAUUUCCUUGCAUGCUUAAUCAUGAUUAUGGUAUUCCUAUGUUUAGCAACACAUAAUGUCUUUUUUUAAUCGCUUAAUAUUUUAUUGUUAUAUCUUCAUCCUUUCCUGAACCAAGGAGUUAUGUUUUUAGCUAACCCUACCCUAUCAUCAUGUCUUAUGAUAUAUCAAACAUUUCAGUGUAAUUAUCCCUAUGUUUACAUGGUUUCUUUAGAAAGUGCAUGCCAUUAGCAUUUUCUCUAUCCCUGUGUUUUCCUUCACUUAGCCAUGAUCCUGUACUAAUCAUGGUUUUUUUGUGUUUUUCUUUCAUUUACCUUGGUGUUUUAUUUUCAUGAUUUAUUUAGAGCAACAUGACAAGUCCUCACGGACAUGUUCAACCGGAUGAGUAUGUGCCAUCUUCUCCAUACUCACAAUUUGUCUUGAAUGACUACGAAACCCCUGUUGAUAGAAUCUUGCUAUCCGAUAACCCGAGCUCUUCAAAUACACCAUCUGCUCCACAACAUACUCAAGGGGUUGGCACUUUGGUUUGUUCACGCCAGCACAUAGAUAUACAAACCACCUUCUCCUUAUCAAGCAACAUAGUGCAAACUGAAAGUAAUGAAAUUAAUGCAGCAAGGCUAUCCAAUCCUCCACAAUCUACCGCCCUUGCUUCAUUUCACUGUGAUGAAUCUGAAGAAUUCUCUGAGCAAACCCUUAAUCAUCAAUCUACUAUAAGCCAGGCAUUAUAUCAGAAAAAAAAAGGCGUAUGUAAUCCAAUCAUGUACCUUUUGUAGCCAUUUAACCUGUAUUUAUGAUUGCCUCUUUUAUAUCAUUCGUUCAACUCUCUCAACUUUAUUUUUUUACAGGUUAUUUAAUUGAAUACAUUGAUUUUGGGGAUAAAACAUACAAGUGUAACCAUUGCAACGCUCUUUUUUGGUUGCAAGAACGCUUGGCCCGUUCAGCCAAAACAAACCCAUGCUCCACAAGAAACACCUAACUAUCUUGAUAACCUCCUUAACCCAAACAAUGGUUCAUCGUCCAAGAAGUUUCGACGUGAAAUUCGUGCUUAUAACUCAAUGUUCGCUUUCACGUCCAUGGGGGCUGUGGUUGAUCAUUCUGUUAAUUCUCGGCCUGGAUCUUAUGUUUUUAAGGUCAAUGGAUAUUGCCACCAUCUUAUGGGUUCUCUUCUUCCCAUGGAUAAUAGAGGCCCCAAGUUUGCACAGCUUUAUAUUUUCGAUACAGAUAAUGAGGUUUCUAACCGGCUGCAACCAUUCUGCAAUGAAAAUUUUCAAUCAAGCUUGGAUAGUCAGAUUGUUGUUGGUCUAAUCAAUAUGCUUGAUUCAUCUAAUCAAUUGGUUCGUUUGUUCCGUCAUGCUGGACAAAGGUUUGGGGAUGUCGAGGUUCCAGAAUUCAAACUUCGGUUAAUUGGUAAAAGAGAUGAUGACUCAAGGCAAUACGAUGAUCCUUCUUUAAAUGACAUUGGUGGUUUGGUUGUUGGGGACAUUGGUCAUUGUCGAUCUGAUCGGGACAUAAUUAUUGAAAGUUUAUCUGGAACACUUCAGAGGAUCUCAAAGCUUCAUCCAAAAUUUAUGUCCCUUCAUUAUCCACUUCUUUUUCCAUAUGGUGAGGAUGAUUUUCACACUGAUAUUCCAUUAGCUCAUCAAGAGCAGCAACCACCUAAAAAAAGGCAAAAGGUUUCAAUGAGAGCCUAUUACGCUUAUCUCAUUCAUGAAAGAGAAAAACAAGAAAGCACUCUCAUAAAAGGCGGACGAUUGUACCAGCAAUUUUUGGUUGAUGCAUUUGUUAAUGUUGAAGAGGAACGUUUGGAUUUUAUACGUGCAAACCAAGAAAAUCUUAGAAGUGAGCAUUACAAGGGAAUACAUGAUGUUGUUACUAGAGGUGAUAUUGAUGGAUCAACUACAGGGAAAAUUAUACUUCCAUCAUCUUUAACAGGAAGCCCUCGGUAUAUGGUUAAUAAUUACCAAGAUGUUAUGGCCAUAUGUAGGUGUUAUGGGAAUCCUGAUCUUUUUAUCACAUUUACCUGCAAUGUUAAUUGGCCUGAAAUUCGCCGAGAAAUUAAAAAAACAAGGAGCUAUCAACCUGAGGACAAACCUGACAUCAUAGCAAGGGUAUUUCAUUCCAAGCUAAUUGAUAUGAUGUCAUUCAUCAAGUCCGGAAAACCUUUCGGACGAACAAUUGCUGGUAUUUCUAUUUGAUUUCUUAAAUUUCAAGUUUCUAUUUUUAUCCUUCUACAAACAUCCGUUUUUACUUCUUUACUUGCAUUUUCUCUUUUUAGAUGUUUGCGCUGUGGAGUUCCAAAAAAGAGGUUUGCCACAUACUCAUUUGUUAGUUUGGCUAGCUCCAGAAUUCAAAUUCCGUUCGCCUGAGGAUGUUGACUCUAUUAUUUCAGCUGAAAUACCUGACAAGCAUCAAGAUCCUAUUUGCUAUGAGAUCGUUUCAAAAUUUAUGAUGCAUGGUCCAUGCGGCGCUGCAAAUCCAAAGGCUCAAUGUAUGGAAAAGAAUAAAUGUUCCAAACAGUUUCCAAAAAAAAACAAAGAUGCAACCAUCUUUGGUGAGAAUGGCUUUGUUUACUAUAAACGACGCAUGCAACCUAUGGGUCACAUUGUUAGAAAUGGUAUUUCCCUGUCAAAUUGUCAUGUUGUCCCGUACAACAAAGAACUUUUGCUUCGAUACCAUGCACACAUUAAUGUUGAAAUUUGUUGUCAAUCUCUGCUCAUCAAGUAUCUUUUUAAGUAUGUUAGCAAAGGAGCUGAUCGAUGCAGAAUGGUUCUGAAAAAAGAUACUGAUGAUGAAAUACAAGCUUAUCUAAACUGUAGAUUCAUUUGUCCAUAUGAAGCAGUGUGGCGGUUAUUCCAGUUCCCAAUCCAUUCAAGGAGCCCAGCUGUUGAAAGACUUCAAGUCCAUCUGCCAUUACAACACCAUGUGUUUUUUUCAGGUAAUCAAUCCUUAUCGUCAGUUCUUGGGAGACCUGGCAUUAAUAAGACAAUGCUCACAGAGUGGUUUGAGCGCAACAGGGUUGAUGUCGAUGCACGAGAUCUAUUUUACUCACAGUUUCCAAACAAGUAUGUUUGGGAUGCUAGGCAAAAAGAAUGGAUUGUUAGAUCACGUGGAUUUUGCCUUGGUCGCAUUGUGUAUGUCCAUCCUGCAGCUGGAGAGUUGUAUUUUCUCAGAAUGUUACUUAAUCAUGUUAAAGGAGCAAAGAGCUUCGAAGACUUGCGGCAAAUCUCUGGUACAAUAUUUCCAACUUUUCAACUUGCAUGCAAGGCUUUGGGACUCUUAGGAGAUGAUAAAGAAUGGUCAGAUGCAUUUGGUGAGGCUAUUCCAACAGCUUCUUCUCCGCAGCUAAGGCAACUUUUUAUUAAUAUUAUUAUGUUUUGCGAGGUUGCUGAUCCAAAUAGUCUUUUCGAUCAAUUUUGGCACUCCAUGCAUGAUGACAUUGAAUAUCAUCUGAGAUCUUCUUUCUCAAUGUUGAACGUUCGUUUGUCUGAUGACGAACUUAAGAACUAUGUGUUGUAUGAGCUUGAACAACUUUUUAAUGCUUCCGGGACAUCGUUGGAAGAUCAUAAACUUCCAAUGCCGAAUGGUCGAUUGAUGGAUGAAGUCAGGAACAAACUUUUAAGGGAAGAGCUUAGCUAUGAUCUUGCUGAGCUUAGAAAUAACCAUUCAUUGGCUAUGCCACUUCUUAAUCCAUGUCAAAGAAACAUCUAUGAUUCUGUUAUUACAUCUAUACUACAAAAGAAACAAGCGCUCAUAUUUGUUCAUGGUCAUGGUGGAACAGGAAAGACUUUUUUAUGGCAUACAAUUAUUAAUCGAGUUAGAUCUGAAGGUUCAAUUGUUCUUGCUGUUGCCUCAUCUGGAAUAGCUUCUCUUCUAUUACCUGGAGGGCGAACAACCCAUUCUAGAUUUAAAAUUCCAUUAGAAGUUAAUGAGAGUUCAACAUGCGAGAUUAAACACAACACUCACCUUUCACGACUACUGGAGAUGACAUCACUCAUUGUUUGGGAUGAGGCUCCAAUGAAUAAUAGAUUCUGUUUUGAAGCUUUGGACAGGUCUCUACGAGAUGUUCUUAGACUUAACAAUCCAUUUGGUGGCAAGUCUGUCUUAUUAGGUGGGGAUUUCCGACAAAUUCUUCCUGUUAUACCUGGAGGAACAAAAGAAGAAAUAAUUAAUGCUUCUUUUACUAGCUCAUUGCUAUGGUCUGCAUUCACAUUCCUCACUUUGAAUCAAAAUAUGCGACUAUCAGCUGAAGGUUUAAGCCCAGACCAAAAGGAUGAACUUAGACAGUUUGCAGAGUGGAUCCUUUUAAUUGGUGAUGGACAAAUAUGUGAUUUGGCUGUUUCGGAUGAUCAUGAUGCGGCAUUUAUCAAAAUCCCAUGUGAGCUUCAGGUUGAAGUAAUUGAUUCUCCAAUUGCAGCUAUUGUCUCUGCCAUAUAUCCUGACAUUGAAAGGGCUCAUCUUGACCCAUUCUACUUUAAAGACAGAGCAAUUGUUACACCGAAGAACCUAACUGUUUCUGAGAUUAAUAAUUUUAUCCUUGAUAUUAUACCUGGUCAUAAAUACAACUUUCUUAGUUGUGAUUCUAUCCAAACAACUUCUGGUGAUAUUGACAACAUCGAUUUAUUGUAUCCAAUUGAAUUUAUCAACCAGCUUGACUUUAAUGGUGUGCCCCAACACAGUAUUUCUUUGAAAAUUGGCACACCGAUUAUGUUACUUCGGAACCUUAGUCCCUCUGCUGGUUUAUGCAAUGGAACAAGGCUUAUUGUUACACAGCUUGCCGAGCGAAUUAUUGAAGCCCAAAUUAUUACCGGUUCUAACAUUGGAGAUCGAGUUUUUAUUCCACGAAUUGUCUUUCCAGUUAAUGAUAAAAAAUGCCCCUUCACAAUCAAACGGAGACAAUUUCCUAUUAGGCCUUGCUAUGCUAUGACUAUUAAUAAAAGCCAAGGACAAUCACUUAAGAUUGUUGGUGUCUUCUUGAAAGAACAAGUUUUCAGUCAUGGUCAAUUAUAUGUUGCUUUAUCAAGAGCUACAUCAAAGAAUGGACUUAAAAUCAUUUCCCUCGAUCAUGAAGGAAAACCAUCAUGUUAUGCCAAAAACAUUGUUUACAAGGAUAUCAUUCAAUUAUUACCAAAAGGUAAUCUUUGUAUUCGUUGUUGUAUCUUUUGUGUGUUUAAAUUCCUUAUUCAUAACCUUGAACAUCUAUGAGUCUUCUUUCAACAUAAAAAAAAAAAAAUAGUUCCAUUUUAACUAUAAUAUAUUUAAGUUUUUGCUUUUUUUGUUUUUUGCUGCAUGCGGACAAUAAUUUCUCAUACUCCUCUAUUUUUCAUAAAGUCUUUUCAUGUCUUUUCAGGUUAGCCUGUCACUUCGUCUGCUAUUUAUUUUUCUACUUUGGAUCAACGACUUCACUCCUUGCCUUUACAAUUUCAUGUAAGUUUUUUUUUCUUCACAGCCCUUACUCCAUGCUUAGGGUGAUUUUAAUAUUGAGUAAUGAGUGGACAUGCUAAUUCUUGAUUUUUGUUGUUCCUAAGCAUUAAUUUGUUUCAUAUACUACUUUCACCUCUGCCAUACAUGUAUGAAAAUAAUCAAUUGUCAUACACAUGUAUUCAUGAUCUGAAUUACAUUUCCUACAAUUAAAUAGAAUUUAUGCUUUUAUGAUGACACUUUUCUGCCAUAUUAGCUUUAUAUUUUCAGAUUUGGGUUCCAUUUAGAUCUACUACUAUGUUUAUAUUUUAAUCUCAUGUUUAAUUAUUCACUUAUUUGUUCAAUUUUUCCUUGCUUUUUUUAAAUGCAGAGUGAUGGCUAUUCAUUUACACAACAUUAAAAAAUAUGUUUUCUACCCUUUAAUCCGAGCUCGAGUAUGUCGUGUUUGGAUUCCAAAACAAAAUGGACAAGCAACAAACUUCAAUUGCCUAUUUGUUGAUCGUGAGGUAUGCAACAUAUCUACUAAUAUAAUCUUUAUUAUUGUUUUCUUCAAAUUCUUGCCUCUGCUUGCAUGCUUUUUUUUGGUCCAUUUUUUAAUUUCCCACACAAUUAUGCAAUGUCACCAAUUAUUUGCCUUUUUUUAAUGAACAAGGGUGGUGCAAUACAAGGAUCAGCCAAAUCUAGAGAUGCUGCACAUUUUUCUUCAAUCAUUAUUGAAGGUGGAUAUUAUGAAGUCAAAAAUUUCUACACCUUUGAAAAUCGCUACAUGAAUGCUGUUGUUGGCCAUGAAGCUGUUGUUGAUCUUAAGUCUGACACCAAAGUAACUCACCUCAAUUCUCCCCCACUUUCAAUUCCACGAUAUUACUUUAAUUUCACAGAUUUUGCACAUGUCCUUAACAAAGAAAAAGGAUCAAGACUUCUCACAGGUGUUCUUCAUUCUUACCCUUAUGUACCAAACUGUAUCAUGCAUAGUUUUUUCAUUCCACUAACAUGACUAUUCAAUUAUUUAUAUAGAUGUUCUCGGUAGGCUAAAAGCAAUACAACCAAUUGAAAAGAUUUUGGUUCGGGGGCAAACACUUGAAGACAAAAGGGAGUUCAUCCUUGAAAAUAUACGGUUAAUGAUAAAUUCAAAUUAUUUAUUAUAUUGAAUUCCUCCUAGCAUUAGUCUAAUAUACUUUUAUUUUGUUUAGAGGCGAGGAGCUUCGUAUCACUUUAUGGGGUGACAUUGCUCGAAGCUUUGACGACGCUUCUUUAGCAGAACAAGAUUCUCCUCUUAUCGUUGCUUUUGCUGGUUUUCGUGUCUCUGAAUUUAGAGGUUUCCUUCGUUCUAUCAUCAGGCCUACCAUCAUUCAAUGUUAUUAGAUUUUCGGUUCAAAUUUCAUAACCUCUUCACAUUAAAUAUACACCGAUAAAUAUGUGGUUGUUACAUUUUUUAUAGGAUCUGCAAAUCUAAUUGGCACCGCAGCUUCAGUUUGGUAUUUUAACCCGGACAUACCAGAAUUAUUAGCAUACAAGCAUUAGUAAAUUUCUAUAUUCUUCGAACCUUUUGCAUUUGUUAAAAUCCAAUUUAUGUAUUAAUGUUUAAAUUAAUUCUCAACACCUUUUUCUUUAUCUUUUUGUAGCUAUGCUCAAAUGGCUGUUGACUUACACCAGCUGCCUCCAUCAUCAGGAGCUGUCCUCUCAUUGGAAACUCAGAUAAAUGAAAAUAGAAGAACAAUAAGGGAGAUCCUCUGUAUGGACCCAUACGAACACAAGGUAUCUAUUAUGUUAUUCUUUAAAUGUUACUUAUUGCAAUUCAUGUCGUGAUGCCCAAGCCCAACAAUUGUCUAAUAAAGAUAGAUCGUCAAAUAUAGUGUCUAGGAUCAAGAAUCAUGGCAUAGAAGUUCAAGGCCUAUAAUUUUAUAUCUCAUGGCUGGUUCCAGACCCCUAUAAUAUUAUGAUUACACUGCUGUUGGCAAUCACCAACACUGCAUAGCCUUUUUUAUGAAAAAAAAUGUAUGACUUUGUGCUUUAAUUGACACCUGCAGAAUGAAAGAUUUACAUGUAAAGCUUUCAUAGUUGAUUAUGAUCUCUUCAAGGGAUGGUGGUGUCAAAGCUGUCCAGAUUGCAACAAGCCACUCUCUGGACUCCCUAAUAAUUUGCGAUGCAUGGAGCAUGACUAUCCAUCCUCUGCACCAGUCCCAUGGUUCAACUAAUAUGCAUACCAAAACAACGUUGAAUUUUCAGCUAAAACAUAUAUUAACCCAUGCUUUUAUUUCAUUCUUAACUGGAGCUCUUUUUCAUAUCUUUUAGGUUCAGACUUAACUGCAUCGUCAGCGAUGGUCAAGAUGUCACGAAUUUUCUUCUCUCUGGCAAGACAGCUGAGUAUUUUUUCAAUGCUUCAGCUCAUCAUUUGGUGUUCGACAAACAAUUCACUGACCCAUUUACUGUUCCACCUCAAAUGAUUGAGAAAUUAAACAAGACAAAAAUAUUUCAGCUUCGAUUUGGAGCAUACAAAUCUGUUCUCGGCAGAUGUGAGAUAUAUGUUUGCAACAUCUUUGAUGAAAUACCAACUGAAGCAUCUGUUAGCCCACCUAGCCCCAUUAAAAACAUUGACACGCCAGCCUCAAUAACCUCUGCUGCUGGAAGUUCAAGGACUUUCACCCCUCCAACACCAAACGUUGCAGAUCCCUUGGAUGUAGAUCAAUCUCAGAUUCAGACUCCAGCUUCACAGCAGGACACCUCUCCACAAAAAGACACGUUCCAUGACAGCUGCCAUCGCCAGUCAAAAAGAGCACUAACCUUCAAUGAUGCUGAGCCACACGACAGGUUUGCUUUGCCUCCCCACACAUAACAAAUAAUUCCAGUGCAAACAUGACACACCAGCGGAGGCCACUAUCUCAUUUCUUUGAUAUGCAUUCCUUUAGUAAUUAUUCCUUGCCUGAUCAACAACUUUAUAAAUACUCUUCCCUUUCAUUCUUAAUAUCUUAUUUGGCAUGCAAAUAUCAUCCCGUGGAAUCUUUUUUCAGCUAUAUCAUUAUUUUUAUUCUUAUUUUUUGAUUUCAAGAUAUUAACUUCCAAGACACCACUAUCUAAUAUUUGCUCAACAUUCAUCCUAUGAAAGUUAUUACUUAAUUGUUCUACUAAUAAAUAAAUUGUUUUGUCUUUCAUUCACAUUGUUUACAUUUCCCAUUCCUUAAGUACUUCCUUUCAACAUAUGAUUCAGCACCCAGCUUCCCCACCCAAAACCCUUCAACGAAGACUCAUCAAAGGAGCAUCUCUACAAAGAUGAUGACAAUCCUGCACCUCAACUUUCAAAGAAGCAGCGCCUCUCCGUUUCAUCACCUGAAAAAGUAAGCAUCUACUUCUAAUUAGUUUCCCUUCUUUAUGAACUCACAUACUCAACAAUAAUGACAUCUUCAUUUCUCAUUACUGAUUUAUCUUUAAAAAAAUUUAAUAUUUGUUGCUGUAUAAAAUUUAUGACUUUCAGUUACACUGAUUUUUUCCAAUAGGAAACCAAUUAACAUUGGGUUAGUCAAUGCUUGCUUUUCCAACAUCACAACCUGAUUGGGCGUCUUCAUCAUCUGCGUUGUUGAUACAGCUUGCUGCUCAUUCACGUCCAAUUCUCUACCUAUAUGUAUAAAGCAUAAAAUAUUUACCUCUCGCUGCUUUUGUUAUGCUUGAACUAACUUUUGCAACUAACUUUGUUAACUAUCUGAACUUGACUUUUGCAACUAACUCUGUGAAUAUACUAUCUAUUCCCAUAUAACAUGUGCAAAAAAAAAUAUUACAGAUUUUGACACCCGCGGCAUCGCGCGGGUAUCAAGACUAGCAGAACUCUAAAACGCGUGGGGAAAGCACUGUAGCUUUCCCCACGCCUCCUGUGCAUCAGUUAAUGAAAGUGUGUUUUUUUUUUUCACGCCUCAUUAUUAAUAUAUUAUUAUUAUAUUAUAUUAUAUUAUAUUAUUUCUAAGCAUCAGUGAAUGAAAGUGUUUAUUUUUUUUCACGCCUCACUUUACUCAUUAUUAAUAUAUUAUUAUUAUAUUAUAUUAUAUUAUUUAACUGUCUUAUUUUUUUUCGUUUUUAAUUUUUUUUGUUUUUUUAAUGAAUUUUUUUUGUUUGAUUUAGUUUGUUGGUAUUAAAUUUUUUCUAUUUAAUUAUCAGACUUUCAUAACAUGUAUCCUGGCUUGACGGGUUAACUUGGUUUGAUGUGUUGACCAGUUAACUUUAGGUAAACCCGUUAAUUUUUUCAUUUAUUUAGUUAUCAAACUUUCAUAAUGCGAAUUCCAGAUUUGACGGGUUAAUCAGUUAAUUCAUUUUUUUUCUUUUUCUUCAUUAGUUUUUUUUUUGUUAGUUUUUUUUUUCUUUUUAAUCAAUCUAUUUAAUUAUCACACUUAUAUGACACGACCUUGCAGCCAGACCUACAUCCAAGACUAUUGGAUCUGGUAUUGCAGCCACCCCCACUUAAACUUGGGUCAUGCAAGUUUAAUGUUAUUAUUAAUAUUAUAAAUAUUAUUUUUAGGUCAGGUGUUGCAGCCAAACUCAUGAAUCUUGGGUUUGGCUGCAACGCCUGACUUAAGAGUAAUAUUUAUAAUAUUAAUAAUAAAAUUAAACUUCCAUGACCCAAGUUUAAGUGAGCCUCACUGUAACACCGGACCCAGGAAUAUUGGAUGUGGGUCUGGCUAUAAGGUCGUGUCAUAAAAGUGUGAUAAUUAAAUAGAUUAAUUAAAAAAAUCAACUGAGAGAAAAACUAAUGAGAAAAGAAAAAGAAAUUAAAUUAAUUGGGUUAACCCUUUAAACCAGGUUAUCCCGUAAAACCUGAGAUUUGCGUCAUGAAAGUUUGAUAACUAAAUAGAAUUUAAUUUUUUUUAAUGAAUUUUUUUGUUUGAUUUAGUUUGUUAAUGUUAAAUUUUUUUUAUUUAGUUAUCAGAUUUUCAUGAUACGGAUCUCGAGUUUGAUGGGUUGACCUGAUUUGACGAGUUAUUUUUUUCAUUUAGUUUAGUUUGUUAAAGUUAAUUUUCUUUCUAUUUAAUUAUCAGACUUUCAUACUUUAAUGAUACGUAUCCUGAGCUUGACAGGUUAACUUGGUUUGAUGGGUUAACCCAAUUAAUUAUGGGUAAACCCGUCAUUUUUUUUUCUAUUUAGUUAUUAAACUUUCAUUACGCGAAUCUCAGGUUUUACGGGAUAACCUAGUUUAAAGGGUUAACCCAAUUAAUUCAUUUUUUUUUCUUUUUCUUCAUUAGUUUUUUUCUUUUCUGUUGAUUUUUUUUCUUUGUUUUUUUUAAUUAGUUUAUUUAAUUAUCACACUUUUAUAACACGACCUUAUAACCAGACCCACAUCCAAAAUUCUUGAGUCCGGUGUUGCAAUUAGGCUCAUUUAAACUUGGGUCAUGCAAGUUUAAUUUUAUUAUUAAUAUUAUAAAUAUUACUUUUAGGUCAGGCGUUGCAGCCAAACCCAAGAUUCUUGGGUAUGGCCUUGCAAAAAAACCCAAGAUUUUUAAAUUUUUGGUUUUUUUUUUUAUAUUUUUAUACAAAAAAAAAAAUGAUUUGCGGCAUAGCGCGGGUACCAAGGCUAGUAUAUAUAUAAAGAGAGAGAGACCCCCCACACACACAAGCUUGGCUUGUUAGAGAUAUUAUGUUACUCAUGAUGGUUUCUUGUUUUAUAAUUUCCAGACUGUCGAAGAUUGACGGUGCAAGAUGCUCCAUUUAUAAUUAAAUAUUGGAUAGAAGAAAUAUAGUUUACACUGAAAUUCUUUGAUUUUUCUGAUUAUUAAUUUUGUAAACAGCUUUGCAUUAGAGCAGUAAAAUAUCUUUUCCAUUCAAGUAGUUUUCGGUUUGGUUUUGACAUUUCGAUGUUGUUUUUGUGGUCCCUUUGAAUAUCAAAACUAUCUUUCCAUUUAUUUGUUGAAUUCUUAUCACAACCAUAACCUUUCAAUUCCAAAAGGAGCUCUCUCUUGGUUAGUCUUUAGAUAUAAAAGAGAUGAAAACGACAGAGAUAUGUUUUUUUUGUACUUUAAAAGUAUAAAAUCUCACUUUAAAAUUUUCCUAGAUUUAUUUUAUAUUUUAUCCUCUAUUUUUUUAACUAAAUAUAUUAUUUUUAUCUUAUUUAUAUUGCUUAUUUUAUCCAAGAACACUAACUAAAAUAACUUAGAAUCUUUUUUGAAAGUCCUGCUCUUUAUGCUUAAUAUAACAUUAAUUCUAUUAAAAUUAAAUGGGAACUUACCUUGUUGAUUAAAUUAUACAAUUAAUUUUCUUUAGGAUGGUUGAUAAUGAUGAUAAAUCAUUGAAGCCAAUAUUAUCAUUGGAAUUAAAUUCGAAGUUUAGAGAAUGUAAAAGAGAGUUUUUCGAAUAGUCUUUUUAGUUAUUCUAAGCUUAAAUGUGCAAUAUAUUAAUUAAUGAUAUGAAUAUCUUCUUGAAUUCUAGAAUUCUAAUGGUCUAAUAGGCUUGUAAUUUAAGUCCAAAUCUAGAGUUACAUAAAUAUAAAAAUAAAAAUGAAAUAUGUUCAACCGUGUUUUCUUCCCUUGAAUUUGAUUAACUUAGCUGCUUUGUCUAUUUGCAUGAACGUGUCAUUCUCAAAUAAGCAGCACUACUCGGUAUCAAAACAAGAGUGCUUUUGACGUAAUGUUGUUUUUUCUAGCAGAUGGCUUGCCUUGAAGACUCUCUACAUACACUGCUGUUUAUUUAGCUUUUCUCAUUUCUUCCUUCUCCUAUCCACAUAGGUCUGGUUUUCCUGUGCUUUCCGUGGGAAGCCAUCUGCUUUAAGAAGGAGACAAAAAACACAGAUUUUUGCUGCUGAUUUUCUAUUAGCUUAGCUCUGAGCUCUGCCUGUGUUUCUGCUUGAGGAGGUAAGUAUCGUGUCAUUUUUUUUUUGAAGUGGUCAUCGAUUUCUGGGAUCUGUGUGCAUGGUGCGUGCGUGCGCGUGUGUGUGUGUGUAUUAGCAUGUCAGUGUACUUUUUUCGGUUCUAGCAUGUGAAAGAUCUUAUGGUUGAAAAUGGAAAUCAGUUGUAGUUGCUGUACUUUGAUUUGUUGAUACUACAACUGUACUUUGAUUUGUUGAUCUGAGCAAUGUACUCAACAGUGAUAAGAUAAGAUUUGUGGCUGCUAAUUAGUAAAAAGCAUACUGUACUGUCCCAUCUCUGUCAUCUUCUGGUGUCAUACUGUGAUAUGCAGUCUUUGAUGAAAUGAUUCAUGUACUUUAGUAUGGAGUUUGACAUGGACAGUUUUGAUCUGAUAUGUACAUAUCAUCUUGAGCUAGCCUAGAUGAAGAUGCUUUAUUUCCUUGUCAUCAAUUUCUCCAUAUAAGAAAAUCCAGCUUUCCCUCCUGUCCUUUCUACUCUUCAAAAUGAAAUCAAAGAAUAAUUGGUUGGUAUUUGGGAUACAUUUUACAAGAUGAUCAUUUUUCUUCUUUUGUUGGAACUGGAAAACUUUACUUGUAUUUUGAGAGUCUGCAGUUUUUCCUUUUUUUUAAUUUUCCAUACUGGUCAAGACUAUUGGAUUGCUUGUCUGGAGAUAUUCUCCAAAAACAUGGGACUGUCCUGGACCUCUUCACCAGCAUUUUAAGACCAGGAACCUCAUAACCAAAUAUGGAAAUGAUGACUAACAUGGAUAAAUAUGUAGUUAGCAAGGUUUGAUUUAUGUGUUUUAGGUGCUGGUUCCAGUUACAGUGUCAUCUGUACCAUUUCUGUUCUUGAAGAGUCAAUCUUCAGUGUGUAUAUACGGUUAAUCGAUUGACUGUAGGUUUGUUUUUUAAUUCUGAUUUAUAUCUAAACAAGUUUUGGUAUUUGUUAAUUUAAUUGAAAGAUGAAAUAUGUUUGUUAAAUAAUUGAUCUUUGUUGAAUUCUACUAUCCUUUCAGGGUAACCUUUUAUGAUGGAAAACAGCAGAAAUGUAGAUUUAGAGAAGCAGAUUUUUCCAGAAGCACUUCCUGCGCUCAUCCAACACAUCUCAUCAAAGGAAGUGGAUGGCUUUGAUGGCAUUUAACUAAAUAAAAUCUUGAACAAUCAGCUUCAACCAAGUGAUUCUCAAACUUUUAGUUCAUCAGCUAUGGUAUGAUACACAUUAUGAUGUUACUGAACCAUUUUAGCUUGAUUCUGCAGAAAUUCUUGGGUGGUUUUGUGUAAAUUUCCUUAUGCAGGGAUUUGAUGGUAAAGGCAUAACAUAUUUCUUAUGUUGGUUGUAGCAGGGAAGUGAUACUGCUGCCUUUGAGAACCAAACUGAUGAAUCUCAACCCAUCCACCUUCAAAGGAAGCAUUCUGUUUACAUCAGCUUGCCACCUUGUCCCUUAGCAGAAAGCUCAAAGAAGGCAGAAAAGGUCCUUUUCAAAGAAGAUGGUGAAAAAACCUUUGUUUAUGGAAAUCCAGAUUCUUCUGCUGCAUCUAAAAUUGUCGAUACACCACCUAAGCAAGUUAAAUUCCACCCUCAACCAAUGGCUAAGGGAACUGCUGCAUUUGAGGUUGCACUUGACGUUCCAAACCAUCCUAAU
This 25888-nucleotide long non-coding RNA is filed under the name Populus tremula. Its description in RNAcentral is "long non-coding RNA (PTRE_LNC001111)". The record is from RNAcentral. Lineage: Eukaryota; Viridiplantae; Streptophyta; Magnoliopsida; Malpighiales; Salicaceae.